GACGAACGCUGGCGGCAUGCCUAACACAUGCAAGUCGAACGAAGUCUUCGGACUUAGUGGCGCACGGGUGCGUAACGCGUGGGAAUCUGCCUUAAGGUGCGGAAUAACUCAGAGAAAUUUGUGCUAAUACCGCAUAAUGUCUUCGGACCAAAGAUUUAUCGCCUUAAGAUGAGCCCGCGUAAGAUUAGCUAGUUGGUGAGGUAAAAGCUUACCAAGGCGACGAUCUUUAGCUGGUCUGAGAGGAUGGUCAGCCACACUGGGACUGAGACACGGCCCAG
Molecule: ribosomal RNA, 278 nt
Filed under: uncultured Sphingopyxis sp.
Lineage: Bacteria; Pseudomonadati; Pseudomonadota; Alphaproteobacteria; Sphingomonadales; Sphingopyxidaceae
Description: partial 16S ribosomal RNA
Rfam family: Bacterial small subunit ribosomal RNA
Source: RNAcentral